This 3338-nucleotide long non-coding RNA is filed under the name Nicotiana tabacum (common tobacco). RNAcentral describes it as "long non-coding RNA (NTAB_LNC014317)". The record is from RNAcentral. Lineage: Eukaryota; Viridiplantae; Streptophyta; Magnoliopsida; Solanales; Solanaceae.
GACCAAGCAACUCUACCUUGAAUCCUUGAGAUCACACUCUAACUCUGCCCGAGUCCGAUAUCUCCAAUACCUGGUUUUGCACAAAAAUGUAUAGAAAUAUAGUAUCAGUACAUCACAGUCGGUACCCAGUAAGUAUCAAGACUAAUCUAAGUAGAGUAGUGACGAGGUACAGUCAAGACACUCACUAGUCUAAUAACAUGUGCAAUAUAGUAUACAAAAAUAAUAGGAAACAAAUAACAAUGAUGACAACAAUAAUUAAUCAGUGAUAUACACAGUAGGGCAACAAGAAUACCAUUAAUAUUGCUCAACAAAUAAUAAAUACAAAUACACUCAAUUAAAUCAAGUCCUUCAAAUAAAUAUCUUUCACAUAUAAUAUUUCCAAAUAACUCUCUUUCAAAUUUAAUUUCCUCAAAUAAAUAUCUUUCAAAUAUAAUUCUUUCAAUAAAUCUCUUUCAAUUAUAAUUUUCUCAAAUAAAUUUCUUUCAAAUGCAAUUCUUUCAAAUAAUACUUUUUUGAAUAAAACUCCUUCCAAAUAAAUAUUUUGAAUAUAAUUCUUUGAAUUAAAAGUCACCAUAUGACACCCCAUUUCAUAAUCAUAAAAAUAUUGGUCUCAGUCCAUUUUCAUAUUUUUCGUAAACACAGGUCUCAACCCACUUUUAUAUUUCCACGGCACUUUGUGCCCAUAAUUAUAUCAUCAUAUUUUCCGGCACCUCGUGCCCACUUUUCAUAUCACAACUGCACGGACAGUUCACGUGCCAAUAAUAAAACCAUCAUAUUUUUUUCCCGGCAUCUCGUGCCCACGCUUCAUAUCCGUUGUGGCGUGCAACCCGAUCCCAUAUAACAUUACCUGCCCAGCAAUAGCCACAGACUCACAAUUUCAACAUAAAUCAGGCUAUUAUCAAGUAUACCGAAACAACAAGACAAGUUGCACACGAUAUAAAAAUAAACACAAGGAAUACUCCAAUAUUAAAUGAAGAUUACCAAUACAAUAACUUCACAUCAUCACAUAACAUCCCUGACAAUAGCCAUUCAUAUCUCUCUUAUAGCCACCCUUAUCACUCCCAUAAUAGCCUCCCUUAUCCCUCCGCCCUAACAAUAUCAAUAGCCACCCAUAUCGCCCAUAUUGCCACCCUUAUCUCUCCUAUAGCCACCCUUAUCACUCCGCCCAGACAAUAUCCCAACACACAUAACAACAGUGAAAUGCCACCUUUAUACUCACAUAAUAUCAACAGUAGAAUGCCAUCCUUAUAUCCUCAAAUUAAUAACUCAACAAUUUACACGGAAUAUUAUCACAGCAACAUAACAAAAAGCAAUUCAUAUCACAAUUUGCCCAAUGGCCACAACCAAAUCCAAAGAUAUAACAAAUCAAUUAAUUUCACAACAAAUAGCCCAAGACUCCACACAAUGUAUAUAAAACCUCAAAACAACAAUAAAGAUGGAAAAAUAACUUAGCAUAGAAUAACACCUUUUUUAAUCUAAAUUGUUCGAUAAUUAUAUAACCCCUCGGGUUAAAGUUAUUUCAUUAAUUAUUUGCAUAUGGAAAAUUCAUAAUAAAAUUAAAUUCCAAAAAAAUCAAAUCAUCAACCUCACGGAAUUCACAUAAAUAUACAAGUAAUAAUCACAUCAAAUUGUCAUAUAAAAACAAAUUCAACAAACAUGAAUUGAGGCACGGCAAAUAGAUGAUUGAUUUAAUAAAUGCCAAUGGUUAUCCAAUUUACUACACAUACAAUCCAAGGGUUGGUAAGAAAAUAUGAAAAUACUUUGAACAAUAUAUAUCAGGUACCCAAUCACCAGAUCAAUAAUUUUAAGCUAUACAUACAUGCCAAGGUUACAACGCAACCUGGUUAGUUAGAAAAAUAAAAUGGUUGAGAGCAAUAAUGUCGAUGAAAUUGUGGCACAUGUCAUGAAGAAGGAAUUCUAAAUACAUUUGGACUUUGGUAUAGAUAAAUAUGUUUAUGACAUUAAGAGAUUCCAAAUUCAGUGUCAACUUCUCAAUUCAACUCACAGAAAUUAUAACUACUGCAGGUUGUAUGAUUUAGCAACUACUUGUUAUCACUCCCUUUAUCUUCCUUUUCGCUAUGUACCUUUUCUGGUUAAUAACUACGCUAUGAAACUGUCUCCAAAUUAAACUAAGUAAUACAUAUUGAUAAAUAAAUUAUUAUAUGAAGAAAACUACUGCUCAAUUGAUUCUAUGGAACUUCUGCUAAUCAAACCAGCUAUUGCUCCUGUUAAUUGUUAAACAAACUCUUCUCCAACUCAAAAUCAAGAUGGAAUUUCAUGUACUCUACAGAAAAAUUUAUGCUGGAAAUGCAAGCUGAUGGCAAACAACCAAAAAAACAAAAAGCAAGUAUUUAUUUAACAAACUAACAAACAAACGAGGGAACACUUCAAGAAAAAAAUUAUAAAUUCACUUAAAGGUCUACACACACUUAUGAGCAAACAAAUAUUUACUUCACUUAGAUGACUAGGUCAAGAAUAGCAAAUAACAAUCAAUUAGCAUUCUACCAAAAUAAGUUGUGAUAGAUUUAGAAACUAAAAUUUCAACGAGUUGGAUUAAGUCAUAGUGGCACACGAGUAUAUAUGAGAUUCGUGGAUUUAAGCCUUCUUUUCUUUUUCUCGAACUUUCAAGUCUUCUAUUUAACUUAAUUUUGCAACCAUCAACUCAACUUUGACAUUGGUGUCCUUCCCCAGUAACAUUCACAGUUCAAAUUUUCUUUUCGACUCUUAAUUAUUUUUAAUCUUUCUCUUGCUCCCCCUAAUACAGUUUCUAAACAAUGUGUGAGACAAUGUUAGAAUUGCAUAAAAUUAAUUAAAAAGUUUUCUUAAAACAAAUAAACAUGAAAUUUAAUUAAGGUUAUAUCAAAUUCAAUGUACGUCUUAAAGAGGAAAAUAAAAGCAAAGAGGGGAAAUAGAUCAGAUGUUAUGGCAUAAAUAGAUACCUUUGAAUUGAGAUAAAGUAUGAAUAGGACAAUGCCAAAUAGAAAUUAGGGCUCGAGGAAACCUUUGAAAAUAAAUAACCAACAACAGAAGAGUAAAACAAAACAAAAGAACUGUUAGAUUGCCAUAUAUCGCAGGAACUUCCAUUACAAUACUCAAAAGCUGAUUACUAAACCAUCGCAGUUUCUGUAAAAGAUAAUAAAUACGAUCAAACAAAUAAAUAAUUAGAAACUGCAAAAGAAUACCCAAUAUCACACUCCAUUGUUGCUACCACAGGUUUAGUGAUUUGGCAAAGACUUACCUUGAACAGAGAGAGAAGAAAAUUGUAGAUCGAAAUUGAGCAUCAAUUUCAGCCGCAUAAUUUUACUCUUCAAAAACAGAGAGAAUGGCUUAGGGUUCUU